AUUGAACGCUGGCGGCAUGCCUUACACAUGCAAGUCGAACGGUAACAGGUCUUCGGAUGCUGACGAGUGGCGCACGGGUGAGUAUUACAUCGGAACGUGCCCAGACGUGGGGGAUAACGAGGCGAAAGCUUUGCUAAUACCGCAUACGAUCUAAGGAUGAAAGCAGGGGACCGCAAGGCCUUGCGCGUUUGGAGCGGCCGAUGGCAGAUUAGGUAGUUGGUGGGAUAAAAGCUUACCAAGCCGACGAUCUGUAGCUGGUCUGAGAGGACGACCAGCCACACUGGGACUGAGACACGGCCCAGACUCCUACGGGAGGCAGCAGUGGGGAAUUUUGGACAAUGGGCGAAAGCCUGAUCCAGCAAUGCCGCGUGCAGGAUGAAGGCCUUCGGGUUGUAAACUGCUUUUGUACGGAACGAAAAGGCUCUGGCUAAUACCUGGGGCACAUGACGGUACCGUAAGAAUAAGCACCGGCUAACUACGUG
Molecule: ribosomal RNA, 482 nt
Filed under: uncultured bacterium
Lineage: Bacteria
Description: partial 16S ribosomal RNA
Rfam family: Bacterial small subunit ribosomal RNA
Source: RNAcentral